Molecule: non-coding RNA, 958 nt
Organism: Saimiri boliviensis boliviensis (Bolivian squirrel monkey)
Lineage: Eukaryota; Metazoa; Chordata; Mammalia; Primates; Cebidae
Source: RefSeq, a predicted model, not a curated record
AUGCACUCCUCUGUAGCUCUUCACCAUCUUUCCUCAUUAUCUAAGCCUUCCUCCAGACUGUGGAACCUCUCCUAUACCAAAUUGCCCUCCUGUCUCCAAUCCACAGGGAAGUGCCUCCUGUACUACAAUGAUGUCCUCGAGUCCCUGUACCUGUGCCCAAAUGGUGCCCACUGUUCCACCUGGUUUCAAGAUCCUGCCUGCUUCACUGGCACCAUGGACACCUCCGUGAAGAUUGUGACACACGAGGGCACCAGGACCCUCUGGAGAAGCCUCCCCAUCACCCUGGUGAUGACUGUGCCAGUUACCACCAUCUGCUUCACUGCUUACCACCAAAUCAAAGCCUUCCUGUGUGGUCGAGCCCUGACCUCUGACCUCUAUGCACCCACAGGUGGCUGGCAUGUUGGCCUGCCUGGGACAGCCCCCUGGAGCUCAUGAGGACAAAGCUGCAGGCUCAGCACGUGUCGUACCAGGAGCUGGUUGACUGUGUUAGAACGGCAGUGGCUCAGGGUAGCUUGUGCUCUCUGUGGCUGGGCUGGGGCCCCACUGCCCUUCGAGAUGUGACCUUUUCAGCCCUGUACUGGUUCAAUCAUGAGCUGAUGAAGAGCUGGCUGAAUGGGCUCAGGCCGAAGGACCAGACUUCUGUGGGCAUGAGCUUUGUGGCUGGUGGCUUCUCAGGGACGGUGGCUGCUGUGCUGACUCUACCCUUUGACUUGGUGAAGACCCAACGCCAGGUCGCGCUGGGAGCGAUAGAGGCUCUGAGAGUGACAUCUCUUCAUGUGGACUCCAUCUGGCUGCUACUGAGGAGGAUCGGGGUGAGUCGGGCACCAGGGGAUGCUUUGCAGGCUUCCUUCCUCUGAUCAUCAAGGCUGCCCCCUCUUGUGCCAUCACAAUCAGCACCUACGAGUUCAGCUAAAGGUUUUUCCAGAGGCUCAGCAAGGACCGGCGUCUGGGCAGCUGA